GACCAAAGUGUUGAGUUCAGCUCUGGGCUCCCUCCCCAGUGCUGGUAAUUAUUCUUUGGUACAGAAUAUGGCUAAGUGAACUCUGAAUCUGAAGUAGCUUGAAUUAACUGCUUCACCAUAUCUUGGCCAACAGUC
Molecule: small nucleolar RNA, 135 nt
Organism: Astyanax mexicanus (Mexican tetra)
Lineage: Eukaryota; Metazoa; Chordata; Actinopteri; Characiformes; Acestrorhamphidae
Source: Ensembl